CGGACGGGUGAGUAAUGCCUAGGAAUCUGCCUGGUAGUGGGGGACAACGUUUCGAAAGGAACGCUAAUACCGCAUACGUCCUACGGGAGAAAGCAGGGGACCUUCGGGCCUUGCGCUAUCAGAUGAGCCUAGGUCGGAUUAGCUAGUUGGUGAGGUAAUGGCUCACCAAGGCGACAUCCGUAACUGGUCUGAGAGGAUGAUCAGUCACACUGGAACUGAGACACGGUCCAGACUCCUACGGGAGGCAGCAGUC
Molecule: ribosomal RNA, 253 nt
Filed under: uncultured Pseudomonas sp.
Lineage: Bacteria; Pseudomonadati; Pseudomonadota; Gammaproteobacteria; Pseudomonadales; Pseudomonadaceae
Description: partial 16S ribosomal RNA
Rfam family: Bacterial small subunit ribosomal RNA
Source: RNAcentral